AGCUUGAAAAUAGUAGAGGGGACAGAAGGGAUUAUUUUGUCUGAAGCU
RNAcentral lists this small RNA (48 nucleotides) under Salix viminalis (osier). Lineage: Eukaryota; Viridiplantae; Streptophyta; Magnoliopsida; Malpighiales; Salicaceae. The record is from RNAcentral.